GACGCGCAGACAUACGGGAAAUUAUUUUUAAGCAAUAAUUUUUAAAGGAUUAAAAAGGUAAAUGGGAGACCAAGAACUACAAUUAAUUAAUGAAAUGAGAAAACUUAAAGUUCAUGUUUCAACUCUUGUAUGAAAUAAUUAAGCAGGUUUUUAUCCCAGUACUUGAAGUCCUGGAAAAAAAGACUGAGGAUGCACAUUGGUGGUGCCUAGCCAUUGACUUGAAAGCAAGGAAUUUGUGGAUCAUAGAUUCCUUCUACCCCGAGCCUUUCAGCACACAUGCUACGGAGGUUGAUAUUCUGCUACGUGGGGUUGAUGUGCUCUUCAGCCUUAGUAACUCAAAAUGGAUAACGGGAGAAAUAAGUGGUUGGAAAAAAUGCACAAUUGAGGUGUCAGGACCUUCAGAUGCGGCUUAAUGUGGUGUUUACAUGUUGGCCUACAUAAAGUUUUGUGCUGGAAGGUUCACAACUAUGUUCAGUGUGGGAAAGAUUCACAGUGCAAGGGAGAACUUAUUUAUGGACGACCUGCAAUGCGAAACUAAUGACUUGGUUGAUAACCUAGAGUCAAUGAUUCCCGCAGUUAGAAAAGACACUAAGGGGGAGAUAGGUGGAGUACGGGGAUAAAAUCAUCAUUGAGGCAUAUUCUGGUUGUUUGAUGAUAUGCUUAUUUUGAACAGUAUUUUAGGUGAUCACUGGUUUUUGAACAAUAUUGAUUAUGCAUUCAACUAACUAACUCAUAAUUCUAGAUAGCCUUGGUUAUAUUUAGCCUUUGAAUCUGUUUAUAAAUAGACAUUGUCAGUGGUACAGUUUGGGGGUCUUGUUUGUACCAUUGAUGGUAUUACUCCAAGUUAUUGUAGUUACUUGGUAGUUAGUGGGACAUAUUUGUAUCUAUUUUAGACAGUGGUACAAUAUUUUGACAUGUACACACAUGAAUGUACCACUUAUUAGGUACUUCAUGAUAUUUUACCUUUAGU
This is a long non-coding RNA of Chenopodium quinoa (quinoa), 970 nucleotides long. RefSeq lists it as uncharacterized. The record is from RefSeq and is a predicted model, not a curated record. The transcript is spliced from 4 exons. Lineage: Eukaryota; Viridiplantae; Streptophyta; Magnoliopsida; Caryophyllales; Amaranthaceae.